AGCGAACGCUGGCGGCAGGCCUAAUACAUGCAAGUCGAGCGCACCUUCGGGUGAGCGGCGGACGGGUGAGUAACGCGUGGGAAUGUGCCCUUUGGUACGGAACAACUGAGGGAAACUUCAGCUAAUACCGUAUGUGCCCUUCGGGGAAAGAUUUAUCGCCAUUGGAGCAGCCCGCGUUGGUAUUAGGUAGUUGGUGAGGUAAAGGCUCACCAAGCCGACGAUCCAUAGCUGGUCNGAGAGGAUGAUCAGCCACACUGGGACUGAGACACGGCCCAGACUCCUACGGGAGGCAGCAGUUAGGAAUCUUGCGCAAUGGGCGAAAGCCUGACGCAGCCAUGCCGCGUGAAUGAU
Molecule: ribosomal RNA, 351 nt
Filed under: uncultured bacterium
Lineage: Bacteria
Description: bacterial SSU rRNA
Rfam family: Bacterial small subunit ribosomal RNA
Source: RNAcentral